AACAAGGCGUACCUGCGGACCUGCGGAGGGAUCAUUAACCUUUCAAAUCAGGGUGCGGCGCGGCCCCCGAGGAGCGGAAACAAUCCUUGGGAGGUAUGCGGGGGCUUCGAGCCCCCCAUUUACGCACGCACGACUGCCAUCCUUACUUUACGAGCACCUUCUGUUCUCCCUCGGCGGGGCAACCUGCCGUUGGAACCGAAUAAACUCCUUUUGCAUCUAGCAUUACCUGUUCCGAAACAA
Molecule: unclassified non-coding RNA, 240 nt
Filed under: soil metagenome
Description: partial contains 5.8S ribosomal RNA, internal transcribed spacer 2, and large subunit ribosomal RNA
Source: RNAcentral